Molecule: ribosomal RNA, 314 nt
Filed under: uncultured soil bacterium
Lineage: Bacteria
Description: bacterial SSU rRNA
Rfam family: Bacterial small subunit ribosomal RNA
Source: RNAcentral
AGAUUGAACGCUGGCGGCGUGCUUAACACAUGCAAGUCGAGCGGUAACAGGCGUAGCAAUACGUGCUGACGAGCGGCGAACGGGUGCGUAAUACAUGGGAAUCUGCCGUUUUAGUGGGGAAUAACCCGGCGAAAGCCGGGCUAAUGCCGCAUAAGAGUCGUUCGGAUGAAAGCGGGGGAUCGUAAGACCUCGCGCUGAUAGAUGAGCCCAUGCCGGAUUAGCUAGUUGGUGAGGUAACGGCUCACCAAGGCGACGAUCCGUAGCUGGUCUGAGAGGACGGCCAGCCACACUGGGACUGAGACACGGCCCAGACU